RNAcentral lists this long non-coding RNA (649 nucleotides) under Numida meleagris (helmeted guineafowl). Its description in RNAcentral is "lncRNA (ENSNMEG00000006142.1)". Lineage: Eukaryota; Metazoa; Chordata; Aves; Galliformes; Numididae. The record is from RNAcentral.
GGGGCACUGGGGACAAUGGGGACAGUGUGGGUCAGUGGGGGUCAAUGGGGGACAAUGUGGGUCAGUGGGGACAAAGGGGGACAUUGGGGACAAUGAGGUGCAAUGGGGACAGUGGGGACAGUGUGGGUCAGUGGGGGUCAAUGGGGACAGUGGGGGUUAAUGGGGGACACUGGGGUGCAAUGGGGACAUUGGGGGUCAGUGCGGGUCAAUGGGGACAGUGGGGGACAAUGUGGGUCAGUGGGGACAAUGGGGACAGUGUGGGUCAGUGGGGGUCAAUGGGGACAGUGGGGGACAAUGGGGGACACUGGGGACAAUGUGGGUCAGUGGGGGUCAAUGGGGACAGUGGGGACAUUGGGGACAAUGAGGUGCAAUGGGGACAAUGGGGACAGUGGUAGUCAAUGGGGACACUGGGGACAAUGGGGGACAGUGGGGACAAUGAGGUGCAAUGGGGACAGUGGGGACAGUGUGGGUCCAUGGGGGACAAUGGGGGUGAGUGGGGACAACACGGGGGGGCAUUUGGGGACAGUGGGGGUCAAUGGGGACAAUGGGGGACAAUGGAGGACAAUGGGGAACACUGGGGACAAUGGGGACAGCGUGGGGCAGUGGGGACAAUGUGGGGACAGCGUGGGGCAGUGGGGACAUGGGGACG